RNAcentral lists this ribosomal RNA (432 nucleotides) under uncultured bacterium. Its description in RNAcentral is "partial 16S ribosomal RNA". It matches the Rfam family "Bacterial small subunit ribosomal RNA", at positions 29 to 505 of the family's 1533-position model. The record is from RNAcentral.
AACGAACGCUGGCGGCAUGCCUAACACAUGCAAGUCGAACGAGACCUUCGGGUCUAGUGGCGCACGGGUGCGUAACGCGUGGGAACCUGCCCUUAGGUUCGGAAUAACUCCCCGAAAGGGGUGCUAAUACCGGAUAAUGUCUUCGGACCAAAGAUUUAUCGCCUUUGGAUGGGCCCGCGUUGGAUUAGCUAGUUGGUAGGGUAAAAGCCUACCAAGGCGACGAUCCAUAGCUGGUCUGAGAGGAUGAUCAGCCACACUGGGACUGAGACACGGCCCAGACCUCCUCCGGGGGGAAGAGGGGGGAAAUAUGGAAAAGGGGGGGAAACCCUAAUCCAGAAAGCCGGGGGGGGGAAGGAGGCCUUAGGGGUGAAAAAGCUUUUUUCCCGGGAAUGAAAAGAACAGUCCGGGAGAAAAAACCCCGGGCAAACCCCG